This is a long non-coding RNA of Physella acuta, 478 nucleotides long. RefSeq lists it as uncharacterized. NCBI's taxonomy places the organism in Eukaryota, Metazoa, Mollusca, Gastropoda, Physidae. The record is from RefSeq and is a predicted model, not a curated record.
AUUGUUAUGAAGUAAGGUUCCCUAUUUUGAGAGAUGUACAUACACCACGUAGCAUUCAGUGUGAAGCUGUUGAAGUGAAAACACAAACAUGUUGAACAUUAAAGUCGCUGUGUUUCUGAUGGUAAUGCUUGCAGUAGCCUCUACGUUACCGUUGAACAACACAGCGGAACAGCCUGUGCAACGAGACUGCCUGGGAUUGUAUAAGCCGUGUACAUACAACUGUUGCGCUGAAUACAUCUGCAAAAACCGUUUUUAUACUGGACUGAAAUGUUACCCUCGGCCGCAUCCACCAAACGAGAAUGCAACACUGACGACUGACAACUAACCCAAGACCCGGACCGAGAUUGAGUUAGAAAGAUGUUGACAUCAAGCAAGACCGCAAGCCUCUUCUAUCUAUUGGAGUUAUUUUCAUUUUAUUUCUCGCAUGAUUUAAUGAAAGAAAAAACGUGUCGGGCUGUAUUCAUUGGUGAUUAAAAUA